Molecule: ribosomal RNA, 440 nt
Filed under: uncultured bacterium
Lineage: Bacteria
Description: partial 16S ribosomal RNA
Rfam family: Bacterial small subunit ribosomal RNA
Source: RNAcentral
CCUACGGGUGGCAGCAGUGGGGAAUAUUGGACAAUGGGGGAAACCCUGAUCCAGCGACGCCGCGUGAGUGAAGAAGUAUUUCGGUACGUAAAGCUCUAUCAGCAGGAAAGAAAAUGACGGUACCUGACUAAGAAGCCCCGGCUAACUACGUGCCAGCAGCCGCGGUAAUACGUAGGGGGCAAGCGUUAUCCGGAUUUACUGGGUGUAAAGGGAGCGUAGACGGCAGCGCAAGUCUGGAGUGAAAUGCCGGGGCUCAACCCCGGAACUGCUCUGGAAACUGUGAAGCUGGAGUGCAGGAGAGGUAGGCGGAAUUCCUGGUGUAGCGGUGAAAUGCGUAGAUAUCAGGAGGAACACCGGCGGCGAAGGCGGCUUACUGGACUGUAACUGACGUUGAGGCUCGAAGGCGUGGGGAGCAAACAGGAUUAGAUACCCCUGUAGUC